RNAcentral lists this ribosomal RNA (372 nucleotides) under uncultured bacterium. RNAcentral describes it as "bacterial SSU rRNA". It matches the Rfam family "Bacterial small subunit ribosomal RNA", at positions 524 to 898 of the family's 1533-position model. The record is from RNAcentral.
UACAGGGGUGGCGAGCGUUGUCCGGAAUUACUGGGUGUAAAGGGUGCGUAGGCGGAUCUUCAAGUCAGUGGUAAAAUCCUACAGCUUAACUGUAGACCCACCAUUGAUACUGCUGAUCUUGAGUGCAAGAAAGAAGAUUGGAAUUCCCAGUGUAGCGGUGAAAUGCGUAGAGAUUGGGAAGAACACCAGUAGCGAAGGCGGAUCUUUGGCUUGUAACUGACGCUGAGGCACGAAAGCGCGGGGAGCAAACAGGAUUAGAUACCCUGGUAGUCCGCGCCCUAAACGAUGAGGACUAGGUGUCGGGCCGCAAGGUUCGGCGCCGCAGCUAACGCAUUAAGUCCUCCACCUGGGGAAUACGGCCGCAAGGUUGAA